CUCUCUCUCGCCGACAGGUGGACCCAUGUCAGCGUUCGCUCGCACUCGCUUCGCGCUUGCGUCCCACCAAAAUCCAACUAACCACGUAUCUCAGCGCCUGCCGCUGCCGCCUCUACAUCUAGGGUUUUCUCACCAUACGCUUCAUCGCCGUCGCAUGGGUUUCCUCACCAUACGCUUCGCCGACGGCGGCCUUGCAUGGCACCGGAGAGGGCGGCCCCUGCGCGGACGCGGACCACGGCCUUAGCCCCGAUGGCGGCGCGCUGCCCCCCCGACCACCCGGCGCGAGCGGGUGCGGCGCGGCCCCCACCCGACGGCGCGGGCGAGGCACGCGGGCCUCCCGGCGGCGCGGACGCGACCCCUGGCCACAGCGGCGGCGGGCGCGACCCCUGGCCCCGGCGUCGGCGGGCGCGCUCUCCUCUCCAAAUCUCGCCGUCUGCGCGCGUCCAAAUCGAGGAAUCCGCGCCCCAAAUUGAGGAAUCCGCCUCCGCUAUGGAAGGAGAUCGCCUCCGCUGCGCCCCGACUCUCGGUCGUCAUCAUCGUCCGUGUCCGCUGUGCCCUGGCUCUCGGUCCUUCGCGCGCGCGCCCUUCAUCGACCUCUCUGCCUUCUCCCACCUCGAGGCCCACACCCACGUCGGUGGCGAUGCCCACAGACACGCCCACCAAGAAACGCCCUAUGCGCUAUGCGCCAAGAAACAUGCUUCCCUCGACGACGACCGAGAAGACCCGGCGAGCCCCCGCUUGGCACCUUCAUCUUCGUGAUGAUGUUGUCCUUCAGGCUGAAGUGCCACACAUGUUCGUUUAGCGUAGGUGCUACUUGGUUUUUGGCGGUGCAUGCCGGGUGUUCAACUUAAUGUUUCCAAGGUUCUGUGGCAGUGCUAGGCAUUUUGGGAGGUGGUGAGCGCCUCGCUUGGCACCUUCAUUUUCGUGAUGAUGCUGUCCUUCAGGCUGCAGUGCCACAUAGGUUCGUUUGGCGUAGGUGCUGCUUGGUUUUUGGCGGUGCAUGUCGGGUGUUCAACAAUGUUUCCGAGGUUUUGUGGCAGUGCGAGGCAUUUUGGGAGGGACAUCAUCAUGCCCAACUUGAAGUCGUCCGUGACCACAACAGCGAGCGCGGUGGAGCACAGGGAUGAAGUAUUGAAGGCGCUGCCACCAGGUAGUACCUUCUUCCCACUCAUGACACUACCUCAUAGACAACGCAAGUCUAGAUGAGAUCAGGCUCGCAAGUAUGACCUACCUGUUGCCAUUUUUUGUUAAUCUUUUGAACUGAAGCAUCGUGUUUACCUAGCUGUAAGCCGACAUGUAGUCUGUAGAUCAGCUGUGAGUGUCGUGGUCGUGGUGUUUUCUGUACAUCCAUCUGCUCUGAAGUAUAAAGUAUAAUCCAAUAUGAUGGACGUUGCCGCGUGGGUUGGCCAUGGGAUAUAUUCCCCAUUCCUCUCCUGUCCACACCGCAGGUCGGUAGCCUUGAGGAGGCAACUAAAGCUAAAGAAGCCGGUGUAGAUGGGAUCAUUGUUCAGGGACGUGAGGCAGGGGGUCAUGUAAUUGGUCAGGAAGGACUGUUUCCAGCGAGAAUGACCUCAAGAAGUAUGACAAGAAGAACAACAGGUUACAGGUGGAUCACCCUUGGAAAACUGCCUGAUCGGUCUGUGUCAGUGAAUGGUUGGGGCCUUGCUUUCCGGUCCUGCGGUGACUGUGUACUUAGGUAAUUUAUCUUCUCCCACUUGCCAUUACUAUGUCAAUGUAAUUUGCACUGUUUAUUAUUUCGAUAGGAAUGAAAAAAAUCUUAGUUUUAUAUGGGCUUCUUCUAGAUUUUUUUCUUAAUUAAUAUAGCAUUUUUAUUCUCAAUUCACUCAACUAUUCAACAAAGUAAAUAAGUCUUGAGUGAUCAAUAAUGAUCUUUUCUUAGAUACCUGGUCGACCUAAUUUUAGGACUAUUAUGUCAACACUGAUUACCAGUGUAGGAAUCUUAAUUAUAAUUUAUAGCUGAUUACCAGUGUAGGAAUCUUAAUCUGUGCUUGGCAGGCAAAAGCCAAGCCAUGCUACCCUGUGCUUAUCUACUGUGGUGUUGUCCUUGCUCAAAUCCAUGCUAGAUGGGAUCCAUGUGGGCAUUAUGGAUGGCCAAAAUCCACUCCUCACAAGCGGACCCUUCCAUACUUGGCACUCUUCCUUUAUCACCCCACUACCAUCCCCUUCCAUAUGCGACGAGGACGAUCUGGGAAGCCCACCAUCUACUCCCCCUUCCACAAGUCGAGAGCUUCCUAUUUAUUAAUCCAAAGGGUGAACAUAGGCAAGGCCGCCACCCCAGUUUCAUCCUCCUCUCGUUGAGUUGAAUUUGCAAAUUGUUUUGUCAAGGUAACCCUACACGUGGACAGAAUCACCACACUAUUACCACUGUUUUGUCAAGGAUAUAACUCGACGCGAGGAUAGUGAAAGGGUCUAUGACUGCAUGGCAGUGCGUGGGACUCCUCAUCCAACCCUGCAUCCUGGCCCGUUGCUCACUUCAUCUUGCCGAGGUUUUUCUGAUGUCAGACUGCUAAUAGAUCUUUGGUUAGCUCAUUGUUAUCUUCAAAUCAAAACUGUUGUGAUUGUCUUACGUUCAUGUGCCUACUUUGUACUGGAACAUUGUAUGUUCCUACUUUGUCUACUUUUGUGAAGGACAUUUCUUUAAGGUUUCCUACAUAUAUUUUCUACAUGCUUUACUAAAAACUCACAAAUUUGUCUCGGGAACUUCAUACUGAAACAUUGUAUGUUCCUAAAUUGUCUACUUUUAGAACAAGAAUGCUAGAUUUGAUAUGUCCUUCCUCAUGUCCUAAACCUUACUUGGAGCUACUGGGAUAGAAGGGUCGAUGUUAGAUGUGGUUAAGUGCAGUGCGUUGGAAUAAUGUUUUGCUUGUAACCUUUUGAACUCGGGCCAGGAUGGUUUAGUUUUAGCUCUAAACUCCAAUUUAGUUUCCUCUGCAUUGGCUUUACGUAUGUUCUCUGAAACUUCUCAGGUUUAGAUAGUGAUCUACUUCAUGCUCAAGGUCUCCAUGGAAAUCCUACUCUCGAAGUCGAGUGUCGUGACCACGUUCUAUUUUAAGUGAACAACUAGCAUCGUGGCAAUCUUUCUGGCAGUUCUUGGCCUGACGGUUCUUCCGGUCAAUGUCAUCAUUUGGAGCUACAUCACCAACUUGUUCUAGGACAGGUAUGUGCAUGAUGUUUGCUAUUCGCUUACUAUGAAAGCCAGACCGGAGAGACCAUCAACCCAACCGCAUUUUGCUAAUCCUGCACUCGUGGAUGCCUGAUGUUAAUCUCUACUACUCUUAAGACAUUACUGUAGGCGUCCAUAACAGUUGGUGCACGGUUCUGCCUGCCGAGGAUCCCCACCCUCCUCCCCACGCCGAUCCGCCCCACCCUCCUCCCCACCAUCGAUGGAACCUUCCAUCAACGCCCUCCUCUGCUCCGCCAUCAACGCUCGUCUCCCAAUAGCGGAAGGUGGCCGAGGAUCCGCGCCAUCAACGCUCGCCAUCGGACCCGUACGCGAUAUCAGCACCGCCAUCAUGGAAGGUUGCCGAGGCCGCCAUCAACGCCAUCCUCCCCACGCCGUCGAUGGCGCGCGCAGGCAAAACCGUGCACCUCCUCCCCACGCCGAAUCUCCUUCCGCCAUCAACGCGCUCCUCCAUCAACGCGCGUUAACGGAGCCUCGGCCACUUUCCCACACCGAAUCUCCUUCCGCCAUCAACGCGCUCCUCCAUCCCCUUCCAUUCUUGCAUCGACCUCGGCAACCUCUGUCCACUUACGACUACAAAUGGGGAGGCCUACAGUUGAUCCCCACAUCUCUCCCCCAAGACACAGAUUCAAUCAUUGAUCCCCAGGCCGCAGAUUCAACCAAGGUGCGUAAACUGCUUGUUAGGGUUUCUAGAAAUCAAGCUUUUACCACGAAUUUUUUGCUCUAUAUAAGCUUUUACCAUGUUGCAGAAGUGCCCACUUCAUUCAGCUGUAUGUCUACGGGGUGGCUUAAAUAAAGUGUGUGCUUUUAAACUUGCCCUGUACUGUUGAUUUAAGUUUUAAGUUCAAGUAACUUGAGCUCGAGGUGAGAUACCUUUGGGACAUGGAAUGAAGCUCAGUGUCUCUUACUCUCUUUGAACAUUUUUGUGCUAUGGUUUCAUUCUGCACCAAAAAUAAAAAUAUUAGAAUCAUUGCAUUCUUGCUGCCAUAGUUAUGAUUUGUUGGAAUAGUUUUAAGUAUGACUUCUAGGCUCUAGCUGUGAGAAUGAUGUUUCUGAAGUGAGUUCAUUUUUCGGUGCAGAUUGUUGCAAUAAGGGAUAUCAUACCUCCUGCGCAGAGGGCUGCAUUCAAUGAUGUGUAUAUUGCAUACGGAUUGAUGGAUACUGAUCUGCAUCAAAUUAUUCGUUCAAAUCAAGCUUUGUCAGAGGAGCACUGUGAGGUACUUGUUUCGUUCAAUCUAAGGAAUGCACUAUUACUGUCGUGCUUUCACUGUACUACAAGUAGGUAAUAAUACUGAAACCCAUACAUGCUUAUAUGAAAUAGAUCAAGGGUCAUUUUAUUUGUGAUCUCAAGAGAAUAUUUUGUAGCCCAUUCGGAGAUAGCAUAAUAUGCAGCACAUUAUACAAUUAACUAGAGAAGGACAGGCCUGGCCUGGUGCAUUGGUGACUGGUGAGUCGAGGGUUCGAAGCAGCCUCUCUGCAUUUGUGGAGGGAAGGCUUGCCUUGGUCAAUCCCUUCCCAACCCCACUCGUAUGGGAGCCUUCGACACCGAGUCUACCCUUUUAAUUAUACAAUUAACUACCUGUUAAACAAAUGUGUUAAAGCUAAUAAUUGUUGGAAGAUGGCAUAUCCAUGUCUUAUGCUUGUAAGUUACAGAUGCAUUGGUGUUGUUAACAUGAUAUGAAAUUAUGAACCCUUGAGCACAAGUGUAUUUCUGAUGCCCUUGUAUUAUGAUUUUGUUUCUUGCUUAUUGUGACUCUUGUUUCAUACUAGCGAAGUCUUCCUUAUUUGACACUAUAUACAUGUGCCUUUUUGCCAAUCAUAUCCAUGUGACGUCCUUGCAUGGAAAAGGGUUGGGGCUGUGCCUGAGAACUCAUGCUGUGUCCUUCCUAGCUUUUUUUAACAUAUUUUCUUGAUAAGCUAUAGCUGAGUGAAAAAUUAGAUAAUAGAAUAAUAUAGUGAUUUAACGCUCUUCCAAACACUGACAAUCUCAUCAAGCAACUCCUGUGCUGCCUUCAGAUACUUGAGUUUCGGAUAAUCUUUUAGAGUAGACUGUAAAGGACGGAUAUAGAAGAUAGAUAUAGAGGACGUUGUUGGAGUGAGUAGAGGACGUUCUGAUCCUCUAAAUUUAGGGUACAGAACCUUUUAGAGUUCCUUGUUGGAGCUAGUCUAAGUUCUACAAGCUAAGGCUGUCUCCAGCAGCGUCCCCUAAAUUUCGUCCCCUAAAGGAAUAUUCCCUGUACUUUACAGGACACUCUAAAAGAUUCUGUCCUCUAUAUCUUCUGUGUCUCCAGCAACGUCCCCUAAAUUCGAUCCCCUAAAGCUACAGUGUUAACAGAAUUCGUUUUUUCUUUUCUUUUUCUGUUUUCUUUGUUUUGUACCCAUUUAAUGGUACUGAAAGGAUGCUAAAAAAUUUGUAAUCAAUAAUAUUACAAAUAAUACUCUAAAAACUAUGGUUCAUUAAUAAUUUCGAAAUGUACAAAAUAAAUAACAUUGCAAUUUAUGUUCUGUGCAAUUAUUGUGGAAAAAACGUGACACCAUAUUUGUAUCGUACGAAAAAAUGUUUACGAAUUCACAUGCUUGCACCGUAAGCCACGACACUUCUUCAACAAGCCAUUGUCUAGCUUCGGCUGCACGACAAGCGCAUGGCUUCUCUCCGAAGCCUAUCCCUUCUAUAAAUAAUCACUACUUCAACACUUCACUCACACUUCGCAUACACUCAUCCACAACAAUGGACCGGUUCGUAGAUUCCAAUAUUUUUCUUAGGAUGGCACAAGACAUGGAAGAUGAAGACCAUGAGCUCGAGGUUGCGACGUACCAACAUCGUAGGCGUCGUGCUCUUAACGAGCGUCGGUACGCUGGUUCCAUUCCCGGUCGUGUUCGAAUCCAUCGUGACCAUAUCAGUGGUGAUGCAAGAAUCCGAGCCGACUACUUUUGCGCCCAACCGGUUUACACGGAUGCACAAUUUCGGAGGAGGUUUCGCAUGCGUCGCCAUGUGUUUGAGCGUCUCGUUCUUGAUGUGCAACAAGUGGAUCCGUACUUCGUUCAACGUCCAAACUGUGCCGGUGAGCUAGGCCUAUCUGCCCUUCAGAAAGUUGUUGUUGCCGUACGUAUCCUUGCAUACGGUGUUCCUGCGGAUGCCGUUGACGAGUACGUACGAAUUGGAGAAUCUACAGCACAUGAGGCUUUGAAACACUUUUGCACUGCCAUACAAACUGCUUUUGGGGGGGUACUAUCUUAGGAAACCUACUCCUGCUGAUAUCGCUAGGCUUCUCCAAGUUGGAGAAUCACGCGGCUUCCCUGGUAUGCUUGGUAGUGUCGAUUGCAUGCAUUGGGAGUGGCGUAACUGCCCAACUGCAUGGAAGGGGAUGUUUACCGGUCGCGGUAAACACCCUACAAUGAUCCUCGAAGCUGUUGCCUCAUAUGACUUAUGGAUUUGGCAUGCAUACUUCGGCAUGCCCAGUAGCUGUAACGACAUCAAUGUUCUUCAGCGUUCAAACCUGUUCGAUUCACAUCUUAAUGGUGAUAGUCCACCAGUGAGUUUCUCCGUCAAUGGACACACCUACAACAUGGGAUAUUACCUAGCAGAUGGUAUUUAUCCGGACUGGCCAGCGUUUGUGAAGACAAUCCGUCAUCCGUAUGAUGUGAGGACCCAACAUUUUGCCACAGUUCAAGAGUCUGCUAGAAAAGACAUUGAACGAACAUUUGGAGUACUACAGAAGCGAUGGGCCAUAAUUCGUGGUCCUGCAUAUGGUUGGUCUCCACAACACAUUGGAGAUAUCAUGAAAACAUGCAUCAUAUUGCACAACAUGAUCGUAGAAGAUGAAGGACCUUCGUCUUUGAACACAAGCUUCGACAACAUCGGAGUUUUGGCGGA
Molecule: long non-coding RNA, 7076 nt
Organism: Zea mays
Lineage: Eukaryota; Viridiplantae; Streptophyta; Magnoliopsida; Poales; Poaceae
Exons: 6
Source: RefSeq, a predicted model, not a curated record